CCUUUUAUUACUGGUUCACACUACACAGUGUAAUCUAUUCUAUUCCGUACCUUGUAUACCUUUAGGUCUGUUGGUAAAUAAACACAAGAUGAUCAAAACAAAUCUAAUGUUGUAUAACUAUUUACUCCUUUCUUUUACCCUACGUACCCCUUUCUUUAUCAAACAAAGGAAGCGUUUUUUUUUUUCUUUAUCAAACAAAUUCUAAUGUUGUAUAUCUGUUGUCUUCGUAGUGCCUUGUUAGAACCUUCGGAAGUCGAACGGCUAGGUACGCAACUUCCUCAACCGGCACAAUGCCUUCGGUUCCUUAGGUACGAGGAACGAGAACAAGUACGAUAGGUUUACGAGUUGGAGCUUUAAAUUGUGCCGCAGCUGUUUGGUGGUCAACCACUAGAGGAACUCGAGUCAGCACUGUUCGAGCAAGAGGACAUGCUAGAGGCGGGUGUGGCGGAGGAAGGCCCGGUACCGCAGCCGUUACUACUUGGCCGGCAGGAGAGGGAGCAUGGGACGGGUAAGGUUGGGCUUUACUAGUCGGUCGUAGCCGGUCUCGACGAAGGUGAACUUAUGUAGGGGUAACGACGUUAACUUUCGGAGCAAGAAACACUUGCCUAGUUGCCGUCGGGUCUAGAGCACGAGCCGCUGCUCCAGGCGCAGCCUCCGCAGCCACUUCGGAAGGGUCCGCUGGGACGACGGUCCGGUGGAGCCGCACCGCGGGAGGAACGUCGUCUACCGCCGCAUUUGCGUCUCCGACGGGUGAUGCAAGUACCGCGAGGCCCCCCUCUUGGGUUUCUAAUUCCACCCUGCCACGUGCCUGGUCGACUGGCGCGGCAGCGCGGCCCUAUGGAGCAGCUUCUCCUGCAGGAGGACCAGCAUCAUCUUCAACCCCGUCAGGUCCGCACCGUACAGGAGCCACAUCCCGCCCAGGCCCUGCGGCCCCUAGAACGGCUACCUGAGCUUCCCCCGUUGCAUCACGAACGCCGGCCAGACCUCCGUCUGCACCCGCUCGCGCCCCGUCGGCCCCUGCUGCUGUCUCUCGUGCAACGCGUCGUACCGCCGCAACCGGAGGGCCAAGAGCCGGAGGCAGGCCACCGACCUGGUGCGCCGCAUCUUCUGCACGCACUACAGCCACUCCCCGCGCUCCCGGAGCCGCUGCCGUCGCCCCAGCCGGUCCAGCUGAGCGUCCACGCACUGCCGCCCCCACCCGCCUCCCCAGGUCCCUCCCUCGCGCGCCGCCCUCUGGCGCGCAUGUGGAAGGUCCCGGGCGGCCCCCACAGCACCGCGCCCUCCUACAGCUCCUCGCUACACGGCUGCUACGGGCACCUAGGCUGCUGCUCCCGCUGCGAGAUCUUCCGCCCGAGCCGACGCCGCCGCGACAGCAGGACCGCAGAGGACCGCCGCGGCUGGCGCGGGCGGGUGGUGGUCGAGUAGCGCCCUCCUCCCUCCGCAUCGUCGACACUGACACUGACACUCACCACGAACACACCUAGCCGGCCGCCAACCGCCCUCUUCUUCUGAGGCGCAAGAGGGGAGAACGACUCUUUCACUCUUACGUCGUUGCCUGCCGCUCCUUGCUCGUCGUCAAAGGGCUGUUUCCUCCUGCAGCAACACCGGAC
RNAcentral lists this ribosomal RNA (1610 nucleotides) under Triticum aestivum (bread wheat). RNAcentral describes it as "partial small subunit ribosomal RNA". Lineage: Eukaryota; Viridiplantae; Streptophyta; Magnoliopsida; Poales; Poaceae. The record is from RNAcentral.